CAUGCCCCGCUAUAAGCUGGCUUUAAUCCUGAAAGCCAUGCCGCGGCCAGACUGCUGCUGCUUUGAAACAUACGAUAGAGGUUCUGAUGGAAAAAGGAGCAAUAGUGAGGAACUUGGAAAACCUGGGUGAGUGAGCGCUUCCUUGUAAGAUCUCCACCCACAAUCAGUGGCACAACAGAGGCGGGUAUUUCCUGGUGAAUUUUUAUGCACCAACCACAACUGUUGAAAGCAUGAUGGAGCACUUCUCCAAACGUAGAUGUGAUUAGACCGAAUAUUGUCAAACACCCUCUGACCCAGGAACUAAAAGAAUGUGAAGGGAUUGUCCCAAUCCCACUUAAAGGAAAAUUAUAUUACACAAAGAAGAGGAAGA
This 370-nucleotide long non-coding RNA is filed under the name Homo sapiens (human). RNAcentral describes it as "non-protein coding lnc-CDKN2C-2:1". The record is from RNAcentral. Lineage: Eukaryota; Metazoa; Chordata; Mammalia; Primates; Hominidae.